RNAcentral lists this ribosomal RNA (200 nucleotides) under uncultured organism. Its description in RNAcentral is "partial small subunit ribosomal RNA". It matches the Rfam family "Bacterial small subunit ribosomal RNA", at positions 1183 to 1382 of the family's 1533-position model. The record is from RNAcentral.
CGUCAAGUCAUCAUGGCCCUUAUGGGCAGGGCUACACACGUGCUACAAUGGCGAAUACAAAGGGUUGCGAACUCGCGAGAGCCAGCCAAUCCCGUAAAGUUCGUCGUAGUCCGGAUCGGAGUCUGCAACUCGACUCCGUGAAGUCGGAAUCGCUAGUAAUCGCGAAUCAGAAUGUCGCGGUGAAUACGUUCCCGGGUCUU